UGAUGACUCGAGGAGUCUAGAUUGUAGGGAUUUAUACUAUUAUAUAGGGGUAGGGAGUCUAGAUUGGUUGGUUUCUCAUGCGGACCCUGAUUUGAAUCUUGAUGCUUGUUAGCCGCAGUUGUUGGUUUAAUCUUCUUCAACUUUUCAAACCAAGACGGCACAUGCAGAGCUUGUGACCUCAACCAUGUCUUGAGCAACUCACAUCUUUCAUUAACUUCUACAUUUCAAUUCACUUCUUGUCUUUCUUUUUGUAUAUCUUUUGUUUCUUUUUAUUCUGGAUUGUGACGAACUUCUAUUGAUCAUCUCGGACCACUGACUCGCAUUCUUGAUACGAGCUUCUUUUGUUGCUGACCCGAAUUGCAUUCUGCAUUGGAUUUUUUUUUCAGGUAGGUGCCUGAUUUCUGAACUUGAAUUGUCUUUUCUUGUUACUUGACGUUGUUUUCCCUUGCACCUUGAACCAUUUUCCCUUGAAACUUGAACUAUCUUCCUUCGAAAAUGCUUUCCCUUGAAACUUGAGUUGUCUUCCUUCGAAAAUGCUAUCCCUUGAAACUUAAGUUGCCUUCCCUUGUUCUCCAGGUGGGUGCCUGAU
Molecule: long non-coding RNA, 589 nt
Filed under: Nicotiana benthamiana
Lineage: Eukaryota; Viridiplantae; Streptophyta; Magnoliopsida; Solanales; Solanaceae
Description: long non-coding RNA (NBEN_LNC039791)
Source: RNAcentral